RNAcentral lists this microRNA precursor (168 nucleotides) under Panax ginseng (ginseng). Its description in RNAcentral is "miR6136b stem-loop (pgi-MIR6136b)". The stretch from base 34 to 136 matches the Rfam family "MIR6136 microRNA precursor family". The record is from miRBase by way of RNAcentral. Lineage: Eukaryota; Viridiplantae; Streptophyta; Magnoliopsida; Apiales; Araliaceae.
CUUAUCUUACUCACCCGUGCUAACCUCCCUUUAGGCGACGUUUCGGUCAUACAACCGUCGUCUAUACUUUUAGUCGACGGACAACAUAUAGCGUCGCUAAAAGUAUAAAUGAUGGUUGUAUGACCGAAACCGUCGUCUAAAGAGAUGAGCACGGGUGAGUAAAAUAAG